Molecule: ribosomal RNA, 253 nt
Filed under: uncultured bacterium
Lineage: Bacteria
Description: partial 16S ribosomal RNA
Rfam family: Bacterial small subunit ribosomal RNA
Source: RNAcentral
UACGUAGGGGGCAAGCGUUGUCCGGAUUUAUUGGGCGUAAAGAGCGUGUAGGCGGUUUGGUAGGUCCGCUGUGAAAACUCGAGGCUCAACCUCGAGACGCCGGUGGAAACCAUCAGACUAGAGUCCGGAAGAGGAGAGUGGAACUCCUGGUGUAGCGGUGAAAUGCGCAGAUAUCAGGAAGAACACCCGUGGCUAAGGCGGCUCUCUAGUACGGUACUGACGCUGAGACGCGAAAGCGUGGGGAGCGAACAGG